RNAcentral lists this long non-coding RNA (1382 nucleotides) under Gossypium raimondii (Peruvian cotton). RNAcentral describes it as "long non-coding RNA (GRAI_LNC006284)". The record is from RNAcentral. Lineage: Eukaryota; Viridiplantae; Streptophyta; Magnoliopsida; Malvales; Malvaceae.
UCCUCCGAACGUAUAUAUAUAUAUAUAUAUCAAUCUACAAGAAACAUUAAACACACACAAGUAAGUUUAUGGAAGCUUAGUAAGUUCAUAGGCUCAUAAUAAAAUCUUACCACAAUUUCACUAACAAUAUUAAUAGACAAAUAAAAAUUCAACACUUCCUGCCAACCACAAUUUCAUACCAUGACUCUAUCCAAUCGAGCUCGAUGUCAGAUGUCAACUUAUUUUUCGACAUUUAGCUUCAAUUGCACUUACAAAUAAACACUUGUCAAAUUAAGGAUCGUCUUACGGAUUUGAGUACAUCGCUUUCCCGGUGCCACGGUUUGCUUGGAUGUUUCACAUUGCUAUAACUCAGUAUGGUUUUCUUCAUUGAAACACCAUACCUACUUUUUGCAACUCAGUAUGGUUUUCUUCACUGAAACACCAUACCUACUUUUCGCAACUCAGUAUGGUUUUCUUCACUGAAACACCAUACCUACUUUUCACAACUCAGUAUGGUUUUCUUCACUGAAACACCAUACCUACUUUUCACAUUUUGCCAUGGAGCCACAAUGGACUUAUCCGUCAAUUCAUCACUGGUUGUCGAACGUAUGUACUCAAUCCUGUGGAUCCCUUAAUUUGAACUAACAAUCUCAUUUUAUUCUCAUUUUUACCAUACUCAUAAUUCAACAACAAUAUACAAAUUGAUACAUUAUAUCAUUUCCAGAUUAACAAUUAAUCAUAAAAAUUCAGCCAUAUGAACUUACCUGGGUCAAUUUGCUGAAUUCGUAAAAGUUCAGGGACUAAUCAGCUACUUUUUCUUUUCCUCGACUUGUUUCAGGUUCUCGAUCUAAAAUGCAAAUUUAUUCAUUCAUCAGCAUUUAAUUCUAUUCUAAUUCAUUUUGCAGUUUCUGCCCUUAAAUUUUCGAAAUUACACUUUUACCCCAAAUUUUACAGUUUUUACACUUUGAUCCUUACUCAAUUAACCCAUCAAUUGAUCUAGUUUUUCUCAAUUAACACCUUGUCCAACUAUUUUAGACUACUAAAUAUCCUUUCAUAUUCAAAACCGCAACACCAAACCCUAAUUCCAGACUUUCUCACAAUUAAGUCCCUAAAAUCAAUUUCUACCAAAAUUACUUAAUAAAAUCAUCAUAUAAUAAAAUUAAAGCUUUAAUUCUAUGAUAAUUCAUCAUAAAAUUCCAGAACUCACUCAUGGUAACUUUCAAAAUCGUUCAUAGAAUCAAAACUAAUGAAUUCAAUAGUUGGACCUAGUUGUAAAAGUCACAAAACAUGAAAAAUUACAAAGAAAAAGCAAGAAUUGAGCUUACAUGGUGUAAAAAUAUGAAAACCCAGCUUUCUUCAGACCUUCUAUGGCGUUUUUGCUGAUAAAAUAUGAAGAGAUCUCU